Hyla sarda is the source of this 1504-nucleotide long non-coding RNA. RefSeq lists it as uncharacterized. Lineage: Eukaryota; Metazoa; Chordata; Amphibia; Anura; Hylidae. The transcript has 2 exons. The record is from RefSeq and is a predicted model, not a curated record.
ACAGCCUUCGGCUGUCCGGGCAUGCCGGGAGUUGUCGUUUUGCAACAGCUGGAGCAACACUGGUUUAGAAAAGCACUGACCUAGAGUUAAGCAGCAGCAGAGGUGUUUUUAAGUUACAUAUAUAGAGUGUAGACUAUUUUCUAUUUAAUUUGUGAAGUAUUAGGUCAGGACAGAUGUUUUUUUUUUCUUUCCAUUCACUGACAGCAAGAAGAUAUAUUGAAAACUGUAAGGAGUUGGAAAAAUUAUUAAGCAAAACUCAUGAAAAGUUUUCCAAAAGGUAGAGAGCCUGUGGUUCUUAGGGCAUGCUGGGAGUUGUAGUUUUGUACAUGGGACAUUGGAUGAAUGAAUGUUUGUAGAAACGGUGCCCCUUCCCGAUAAUUAUACAGUGCAGUAUGGCUGCAGUUUUGAAGCCAAAACCAGGUGUGAAUCAUGAAUGAAUUACUUAAUAUAAGGAACAGAUGCUACUUCUACUUAAUAUAAGGAACAGAUGCUACUUCUACUUAAUAUAAGGAACAGAUGCUACUUCUACUUAAUAUAAGGAACAGGCGCUACUUCUACUUAAUAUAAGGAACAGAUGCUACUUCUACUUAAUAUAAGGAACAGGCGCUACUUCUACUUAAUAUAAGGAACAGGCGCUACUUCUACUUAAUAUAAGGAACAGGCGCUACUUCUACUUAAUAUAAGGAACAGGCGCUACUUCUACUUAAUAUAAGGAACAGGCGCUACUUCUACUUAAUAUAAGGAACAGAUGCUACUUCUACUUUAUAUUAAAAAAUAAAUAAAAAAAGAGUAGAAGUAGCACCUGUUCUUUAUAUUAUGUAAUUUAUUUAUGAUCCACACCUGGUUUUGGCUUUAAUACUGCACUUUGUAAGAGCACCCUAAUAGGGCCGAUUAAUUCCUACAAACAUUCAUUCACCCGAUCAUUGGCCCGUGUCAGAACUACAACUACCAGCAUGCCCAUCUAUCGUUCUAUUAUAUAAAGUGCCUUUACUUUAUUCCAGUUACAGAAGUGUUUCCCAACCAUUGGGCCUCCAGCUUUCCGGGCAUGCUGGGAGUUGUAGUGUUGCAACAGCUGGAGGCACCCUGGUUGGGAAACCCUGAAUUAAUAGAAUCUCCAUAUAAAGCGUCUCCCCUUAUAUUUGACAGACAUUUCCUAAACCCAGAGGGGCACUGUGUAACCCCCUAUGCAGGCGGCAGGCAGACACGGCUGGAUUGCUGUUACCUCGUUGCCCAAUUAACUUGCUGAAAUUCCUUUACUCCGUUAUCUGACAAUCCAGACUGAGCAGAGAUUUUAUUUUUGGAUUAUAGUUGAUCUGAAUCUUGUUCUAGAACCGUCCAAUAAUCUAGAAUAUUUGAUAAUCCAGCGUCUGUCCCAACCCCCGAUAAUAGCAUCAGUAUGCUAGGCGGAGUAUAGGGGGCGCUGUUCUCUGGUGUCACAUGCUAUGCACUAUGUAUAUUAUAUAUUUUACAUGUGGAGAAUUUAAUAAAUCAUUUCUUACAAAUU